This 301-nucleotide ribosomal RNA is filed under the name uncultured bacterium. RNAcentral describes it as "partial 16S ribosomal RNA". It matches the Rfam family "Bacterial small subunit ribosomal RNA", at positions 509 to 808 of the family's 1533-position model. The record is from RNAcentral.
CAGCAGCCGCGGUAAUACGUAGGGUGCAAGCGUUAAUCGGAAUUACUGGGCGUAAAGCGUGCGCAGGCGGUUUGUAAGUCAGAGGUGAAAGCCCGGGGCUCAACCCCGGAGGUGCCUUUAAGACUGCCGAGCUAGCAGGUGAGAGAGGUAAGUGGAAUUCCGAGUGUAGAGGUGAAAUUCGUAGAUAUUCGGAAGAACACCAGUGGCGAAGGCGGCUUACUGGCUCAUACUGGACGCUGAGGUGCGAAAGCGUGGGGAGCGAACAGGAUUAGAUACCCCCGUAGUCCCUGUCUCUUAUACA